This 440-nucleotide ribosomal RNA is filed under the name uncultured bacterium. Its description in RNAcentral is "partial 16S ribosomal RNA". It matches the Rfam family "Bacterial small subunit ribosomal RNA", at positions 338 to 795 of the family's 1533-position model. The record is from RNAcentral.
ACUACGGGUGGCAGCAGUGGGGAAUAUUGCACAAUGGGGGGAACCCUGAAGCAGCGACGCCGCGUGAGUGAAGAAGGAUUUCGGUAUGUAAAGCUCUAUCAGCAGGGAAGAAAAUGACGGUACCUGACUAAGAAGCCCCGGCUAACUACGGGCCAGCAGCCGCGGUAAAACGUAGGGGGCAAGAGUUAUCCGGAUUUACUGGGUGUAAAGGGAGCGUAGACGGUUAUGCAAGUCUGAAGUGAAAGCCGAAGGCCCAACCACGGGACUGCCUUGGAAACUGGAAGACUGGAGUGCAGGAGAGGUAAGCGGAAUGCCUGGUGUAGCGGUGAAAUGCGUAGAUAUUAGGAGGAACACCAGUGGCGAAGGCGGCUUACUGGACUGUAACUGACGUUGAGGCUCGAAGGCGUGGGGAGCGAACAGGAUUAGAUACCCCUGUAGUC